This 256-nucleotide ribosomal RNA is filed under the name uncultured bacterium. RNAcentral's name for it is "partial 16S ribosomal RNA". It matches the Rfam family "Bacterial small subunit ribosomal RNA", at positions 524 to 776 of the family's 1533-position model. The record is from RNAcentral.
UACGAGGGGGGCAAGCGUUGUUCGGAAUUAUUGGGCGUAAAGGGUGCGUAGGCGGUUUGGUAAGUCUUAUGUGAAAUCUACAGGCUCAACUUGUAGUCUGCAUGAGAAACUGCCGGGCUUGAGUAUGGGAGAGGUGAGUGGAAUUCCUGGUGUAGCGGUGAAAUGCGUAGAUAUCAGGAGGAACACCUGUGGCGAAAGCGGCUCACUGGACCGAACUAACUGACGCUGAUGCACGAAAGCUAGGGGAGCAAACAGG